AUGUCUGAUGUAGUGACGUUCAUAUUUUUCUAUGGUCCUGGUACUGUCCAAACAAAUGAGAUUGGGGUUGAUCUGAGUGAAUUUGAGAACAUAGAGGUUCCACUGACCGCACCUCAAACAUGGUCUCUUAGUCAGUUGAAAGAAUGGGUGACAUCAAGUUUAGGGCUGAAUACUGAAACUCAGACGGUGGGUGUUCAUGCAUUGUGGACCCGGACAAGUACAAACGUUUUAUUCUAUUUGAGGCCAAUAGAGCGGGACUCUCGGUGGGUGCGGUGGUUACAAGGUUGCGAAACCAGGGGAUGCAAUCCUUGUGCCUUAGUGCUUCCCGUUGUGAAGGAGAUAAUUUCACCUGAAGGCGAGGGUGGUUACAAUCCUGGGCAAAGCAGUGAUGUGAUGCAGCACUCAAUGUCAAAUGCUGGAGAUGAUGGUUACGAACAAGGACAGAGUAGUCAGGUACACGGAGGAAAUGCUGAUGAUUAUUACAGUGGGGAGGUGGACGCUGACGAGGUAGAUGGGCACAUGCAGAACCAGAUGGAAGAUGAGAAUACUGAUGUUGACAUUGGUCAUGCCGAUGAUUCCGACGAGUCUGAUGAAGAAGAGAACCUAGAGGAUGUGCCGAAUCCUGCAUCAUGGAAUCAUGACUUCUCAUCAGCAAUGAUCGUGAACGAUGGGCAUGAUUCUGCCUGGCAAUAUCACCAGAAUAACAUUGCGACGGGUGCUAUGUAUCCGAACAAGAACGCUCUGAAGGACGCAAUCAUUCAAUGGGCAAUGUCCACACAAAGGGUUUUCACAGCUGAGGUGUCAAGUCAGAAAUACUUGACAAUGGUAUGCAAGAAUGAAGAUUGCCCCGCCAGGGUGCAUGGCUAUCUCCCUAAGUAUGGCACAAGUUGGGUGAUUAGUGACCUAGUUCAUCACACAUGUCUUAUUCCCUGCAUCCCUCAAGAUCAUGCCAACCUUUCGUCCAUGCUUAUUGCUCGGUUGCUUUACAGUGAGAUAGUGGAGUGCAAAGCGAUGGAAGUUAAGGCUCUCCAGACAAAAGUAUUCGUCAGGUUCAAAUACAGAAUUUCUUAUGGCAAGGCUUGGAGGGCUAAGCAUAGGGCGCUUGAGACCAGAUUUGGUUCUUUUUUCGAUGCAUAUGACUCUGUUGUCCGGCUCCUCCAGACGCUGCAGGCCCGCAAUCCUGGCACCUAUGUCGACAUCCAAGACCUCUUCAUGCCAGAGUUCCCAACUGUGAGGGUGCUGCAUCGACUGUUCUUCUCUUUCGGUAUAUGCAUCGAAGCCUUCAGGCAUUGCCGACCGGUCAUAUGUGUAGAUGGCACUUUUCUCACUGGCAAGUACAAGGGUCAGAUCCUGACAGCCAUUGGUCAAGACGGACAAAAUCAAGUAGUACCACUCUCUUUUGCAUUUGUGGAGAGUGAGAACAUUGAAAGUUGGACAUGGUUCUUCAGGCAAUUGAAAGUAGCAGUUGUGAAGGAUAAGCCUAAUGUCUGCAUCCUUCAUGACAGGCAUGCAGGUAUACUCGUUGGUGCAUGCGCCAUCUGGGGGCUAAUUUCUUCUCGCAGUUCAGAAAUAAGAACCUGA
RNAcentral lists this ribosomal RNA (1581 nucleotides) under Triticum aestivum (bread wheat). RNAcentral describes it as "partial small subunit ribosomal RNA". Lineage: Eukaryota; Viridiplantae; Streptophyta; Magnoliopsida; Poales; Poaceae. The record is from RNAcentral.